This 252-nucleotide ribosomal RNA is filed under the name uncultured bacterium. Its description in RNAcentral is "partial 16S ribosomal RNA". It matches the Rfam family "Bacterial small subunit ribosomal RNA", at positions 524 to 776 of the family's 1533-position model. The record is from RNAcentral.
UACGUAGGUGGCGAGCGUUGUCCGGAAUUAUUGGGCGUAAAGGGAGCGCAGGUGGGAAAGUAAGUCUGCUUUAAAAGUUCGGGGCUCAACCCCGUGAUGGAGUGGAAACUACUUUUCUUGAGUGCAGGAGAGGAAAGCGGAAUUCCUAGUGUAGCGGUGAAAUGCGUAGAUAUUAGGAGGAACACCAGUGGCGAAGGCGGCUUUCUGGACUGUAACUGACACUGAGGCUCGAAAGCCAGGGGAGCGAACGGG